AAUUACAAAACUUUGAACCAGUAUAAAUUAACGAGGGAGCUAGUUAGAUUUAAAACCCUCAUGUUAUCUAAUAAGCAGAUACAAAGCGAAAAAUUGGGUUUCAGAUACAACUUCAUAAAUCAUUGGAACAUUAAAACAGGGAGAGAUACCAAACCCUAUGGGUGCAUUUUCAAAACCUAAAUAUCUACAACCCAUGUUCAAAACGGCUUGGUCAACGAAAGUUGGUCAUUUUUCAAAAUGUCAAAGUAAAGUUUAGGAUUUUUAUGGCAUUUUAAAAGUUUAUGCUUUGUUCGUCCCAAAUUUGAAAGUUCACGAUUUUUUCGACAUUUUUUCCAAAAAUGAAUUGAAAAUUACAUAUUUAAAUUAGGCUUUAAUUUCUUUGCCAUUUUGAUUUAAGCUUGCACCACAAGUCUUUAAUUUGUUCUAUU
This 428-nucleotide small RNA is filed under the name Arabidopsis thaliana (thale cress). RNAcentral's name for it is "ATSL051440". The record is from RNAcentral. Lineage: Eukaryota; Viridiplantae; Streptophyta; Magnoliopsida; Brassicales; Brassicaceae.